RNAcentral lists this ribosomal RNA (253 nucleotides) under uncultured bacterium. RNAcentral describes it as "partial 16S ribosomal RNA". It matches the Rfam family "Bacterial small subunit ribosomal RNA", at positions 524 to 776 of the family's 1533-position model. The record is from RNAcentral.
UACGUAGGGUGCGAGCGUUAAUCGGAAUUACUGGGCGUAAAGCGUGCGCAGGCGGUUCGUUGUGUCGGCGGUGAAAGCCCUGGGCUCAACCUGGGAAUGGCAUUGGAAACUGGCGACCUAGAGUGCGGUAGAGGGCAGUGGAAUUCCCGGUGUAGCAGUGAAAUGCGUAGAGAUCGGGAGGAACAUCUGUGGCGAAGGCGACUGCCUGGACCAGCACUGACACUGAGGCACGAAAGCGUGGGGAGCAAACAGG